GGGGAAUAUUGGACAAUGGGGGCAACCCUGAUCCAGCCAUGCCGCGUGAGUGAUGAAGGCCUUCGGGUUGUAAAGCUCUUUUGGCGGGGACGAUGAUGACGGUACCCGCAGAAUAAGCCCCGGCUAACUUCGUGCCAGCAGCCGCGGUAAGACGAAGGGGGCUAGCGUUGUUCGGAAUUACUGGGCGUAAAGCGAGUGUAGGUGGUUGUUCAAGUUGGAUGUGAAAGCCUUGAGCUCAACUCAAGAAAUGCAUUCAGGACUGAGCGACUAGAGGACCGGAGAGGAUAGUGGAAUUCCCAGUGUAGUGGUGAAAUACGUAGAGAUUGGGAAGAACACCAGUGGCGAAGGCGGCUAUCUGGACGGUUUCUGACACUAAGACUCGAAAGCGUGGGGAGCAAAC
Molecule: ribosomal RNA, 400 nt
Filed under: uncultured bacterium
Lineage: Bacteria
Description: bacterial SSU rRNA
Rfam family: Bacterial small subunit ribosomal RNA
Source: RNAcentral